This 393-nucleotide ribosomal RNA is filed under the name Triticum aestivum (bread wheat). Its description in RNAcentral is "partial small subunit ribosomal RNA". The record is from RNAcentral. Lineage: Eukaryota; Viridiplantae; Streptophyta; Magnoliopsida; Poales; Poaceae.
AUGUUGUCUUCUGGGUCCGAGGAGCCACUUGGUGAUAUUGGUGCGCCAUCUACCACCCUGUUGGAUGAGUUCCUAAGCAGUUUCAGUUGCGCGGCGCCGGGGUCCUUGCUCGAAGAACCGAUUCAUGUGCAGAUUGACGGUGCAUCUACUUGUUCCGAGAGGCGCAGUGGACGUUUGGAUAAGAAGAACAGAAACUGCAACAUUCCUACUACCAAGCACGCCGAAUAUAGAUUAGCGGAGGCUUAUGGGGAACUGCCGAAGGGGAUGACACCUAAGAAAGGCUCCGAGGAGGAUGUGCAAGAGAAUAUGAACACUUAUCUCCGGAUGUACAAGAAACUGCUUACGCCGACGUUGAUCCAGGCAAUUCGUGCAUUGGUGGAGGCCAAUGGUUGA